Molecule: ribosomal RNA, 507 nt
Filed under: Gyrophyllum hirondellei
Lineage: Eukaryota; Metazoa; Cnidaria; Anthozoa; Scleralcyonacea; Pennatulidae
Description: eukaryotic LSU rRNA
Rfam family: Eukaryotic large subunit ribosomal RNA
Source: RNAcentral
CCUUCGGGCUGAUGUUCUGUGUCGUAGUGUCGGGUGUGGAACGUGGCGGACGGCUUUGCCUGUGCGCUCGAUCCGCCACCGUGCAACGGCGCGUCGAACAUACACCAAGCGUUGAUGAGGACGUUUGACGAGCACACGGCUUUAUCCGACCCGUCUUGAAACACGGACCAAGGAGUCUAACAUGUUCGCAAGUCACUGGGUGCUUGAAACCCGUGGGCGUAAUGAAAGUGAAGGCAAUCUAUUGCUUAGAUGAGAACCCCUGUGUCUGUGCAUGGGGAUGCAUCAUCGACCGACCUGUUCUACUCCUAGAAAGGUUUGAGUAAGAGCGUACCUGUUGGGACCCGAAAGAUGGUGAACUAUGCCUGAAUAGGGUGAAGCCAGCGGAAACACUGGUGGAAGCUCGUAGCGGUUCUGACGUGCAAAUCGAUCGUCGAAUUUGGGUAUAGCGGCGAAAGACUAAUCGAACCAUCUAGUAGCUGGUUCCCUCCGAAGUUCCCACAGGAUAGC